GGCUGGUCCGAGUGCAGUGGUGUUUACAACUAAUUGAUCACAACCAGUUACAGAUUUCUUAGUUCCUUCUCCACUCCCACUGCUUCACUUGACUAGCCUUAA
This 102-nucleotide Y RNA is filed under the name Saimiri boliviensis boliviensis (Bolivian squirrel monkey). RNAcentral describes it as "Y RNA (ENSSBOG00000009547.1)". It matches the Rfam family "Y RNA". From Rfam's summary of the family: Y RNAs are components of the Ro ribonucleoprotein particle (Ro RNP), in association with Ro60 and La proteins. The Y RNAs and Ro60 and La proteins are well conserved, but the function of the Ro RNP is not known. In humans the RNA component can be one of four small RNAs -- hY1, hY3, hY4 and hY5. The record is from Rfam by way of RNAcentral. Lineage: Eukaryota; Metazoa; Chordata; Mammalia; Primates; Cebidae.